ACUUUACUAUUAUAUUUCUUUGUUGAGUUUCAUUAUUAGUGCUCUAACUUUGUGCUUUUAUAUACUUAACUCCAUAAGAGAUUCUCUUAUUAUUAUAAGAAGUAUUUUGUGUCAUUAGAAGGGUGAUUGAAGAGUGGCAAAGCUUAAGUAAGAGGUUUAAAUAGAGUAUAACACUUGUGAAAAUUCUUAUAUGUGAAGUUGAGAG
Molecule: long non-coding RNA, 205 nt
Filed under: Physcomitrium patens
Lineage: Eukaryota; Viridiplantae; Streptophyta; Bryopsida; Funariales; Funariaceae
Description: long non-coding RNA (PPAT_LNC008069)
Source: RNAcentral